UGGGGAAUUUUGCACAAUGGGGGGAACCUUGAUGCAGCGACGCCGCGUGAGGGAUGGAGGCCUUCGGGUUGUGAACCUCUUUCGCUCGUGUGCAAGCCGCUAUUUGGGUAGUGGUGAGUGUAGCGGGUAAAGAAGCGCCGGCUAACUACGUGCCAGCAGCCGCGGUAAUACGUAGGGCGCGAGCGUUGUCCGGAUUUAUUGGGCGUAAAGGGCUUGUAGGCGGUUUGUCGCGCCUGUCGUGUAAUCCUCUGGCUUAACUGGGGGUGUGCAGUGGGUACGGGCAAGCUUGAGUGCGGUAGGGGAGAUUGGAAUUCCUGGUGUAGCGGUGGAAUGCGCAGAUAUCAGGAGGAACACCGGUGGCGAAGGCGGGUCUCUGGGCCGUUACUGACGCUGAGGAGCGAAAGCGUGGGGAGCGAACAGG
RNAcentral lists this ribosomal RNA (421 nucleotides) under Fusobacteriota bacterium. Its description in RNAcentral is "Fusobacteria bacterium partial 16S ribosomal RNA". It matches the Rfam family "Bacterial small subunit ribosomal RNA", at positions 355 to 776 of the family's 1533-position model. The record is from RNAcentral. Lineage: Bacteria; Fusobacteriati; Fusobacteriota.